AGCGCAUGGAAAUUAUUUUGUUGGUGUAAUUUUCGAUUCUUAGUUUUUUAAUAGCAUCAUCAGGUGAUAGAGUAUGGAAGAUAUGAAUUCUGAUCAGGUAUUUGAAAUACCUGACACUCCCGAGAGAGCAGCUGCACGGAGUAUAAAUGGUGCACAAUUCAGAAAAGAAAGUAUUUCGUCAAUUCCUGGUCGUCUAAGAAAGUCUGGCUUUGUGGAUGAAAAGAGUUUUAAUCCGCCACGGACAAGCAGGGGUAGGAUUCUUAGUGAAAAUGGGCUCAAUAGAAGACUUCAUUUGCAUCCUCAAAAGAGUCCCAUUAAUGUUGAUGAAUAUGAUUCUCCAAGUAAUUCUGCUUUGGAUUCCCAUCCCCACCAGAAUGUGCCUUUAUUUAGAAGGCCAGCAAUAGUUAAUAACUCCAGGCCUGAGAAUAGGCAUUCUAAAGGAGUACAGUAUGUGGAAAAAUCAAAAGCUGGCCGUGCUGCAAAUUCCUCUAAAAAACCAUUUUGCAUGGAAGGUGAUGAUAUUUUUGAUUUAACUGAGAUGAGUGAGCCUGACAGAUUACUCGACAUUGUUUUUCCUCACAGUGCAUCAAAAGAUCUCCAAGCUAAAGAGACAAGAGAAGGUCAAUUAUCAUCUAAUGGUGGCUCUUCUGUACAGCUGGCUCCUCUUCCUUCAGGAAUAUCUGGCAGCACCUCUAAGGGAAAGGAAAAAAUAGAUGUGAAUACAUGUAAUGGUUCUGGUUCAGCUUCAAAUAAUGUGAAAGAGAUUGAUCGUGCUAGUGGUCAUCAACACAAAAUCGAAAAGCAGCUUCCUGCUUGUCAUCUAUCUGUUACCUCACCAAGAGUUGGUGGGAAAAAGAGAUUAGUGCGAAAUGGAUGUAUUUCUCCACAUAAUAUAGCCACUAGAGCCCAAAAAUUAGCUGAAAGUUCCCAGGAUGGCUCCCCAGGUGACAAAAGAAAUCAUGCCAGGAACAAGUUGUCUGAUGGUCCACCUAACACAGACCUCAGGGAAAUAGUUGCUGAAGGCAAUGAUUGUUAUAGAGCUAAAGGAAAAAAGGCAAUAGUCCAUCCUUCUGCAUCAAAGGAGCAUGAUGCCUACAUGACCAGAAGUUCUGCAACUAAUAAUGAAGCAUCCCGUGAAUCCAGGGAUGGCCAUAGAGAUGCAUUAUUUGGUGGCUGGAGAAGUACACACAAAAGAUCGAAGACACAAGAUCAGCCACUGGCUUAUAUGGAACAGGGUAUUUUGGGAAGAGAUGAUCAUGCUAGAUGCUCUACAAAUGAACAACAUGAUGAUAGAUUAGUGGAAGGAGAUAGUAGCAGUGGUGGAAAACUACAUCAUGUUGGGAAUCUAGUUGCUACGCAUGGAUUAACUUCAAGAAAUCCUGGUGAAUGCUCUACAAUGGUUCCUGAUGACACUGAAGUUUUGUUUCUUGGUUCAUCUCGGGGAUCAUCUAGCUCAAGGUCAUCUGGAGUCCAUGAUCAUCAACAUGAUGGCAAUCUAGAACCAAUUUAUGAAAUUGAUGAGUUGACUGAAGUGAGAAACAAUGAUCCUCAAUUAAUAGGUUCCAGAAGUAAUGAGGACUCAGAUGUUAUGGCAAGGCAAAUGGAAGCUGAUGAGAUGUUGGCUCGGGAACUGCAAGAACGAUUAUAUCAUGAGGAACCAAUAUUUGGAGGUGGCGAGAUUGAUGAAAAUAUAGCAUGGGUCCUGCAGCAGGAGGAAGAUGCACUCCCUGCUACUUCUGGUCACAAUCAUCCUGUUCCACAUCUUAGAAACUCAUUAGUAGCACAUCCAUCAAGACAGCGCUUGCCUCGGUCCUCUCAGAACCCUUCAAAUAGGAGAGGAAACCAGGUUCAAGUUACUACUACCCGAGCAUCGGGCUUGAGGAGUCGCUUGUCCAACCGGACUCCUGUAAGAAUAUCAAGAGAGAGGAACCCCGUUCCUGCAGUAUUCCCUGGAGGGUUGAAUUUCCAAUUUCCUUCGGGAAUGGAUUUAUUGAUGAGACUUGAUAUAUUGGAAAAUUUAGAGGCUUCAAUGACAGCUACUCGCAUGCUUCAUGUUCAGCGUGAUUUUAAUGAGAAUGAUUAUGAAAUGCUGUUGGCCCUUGAUGAGAACAAUUCUCAACAUGGUGCAUCUGCCAAUCAAAUUAACUGCUUGCCAGAGUCUGUGGUACAGACUGAUAACUUUGGAGAGACCUGUGCUGUCUGCCUUGAAGCCCCAACUAUUGGAGAAAAAAUACGUCAUCUCCCUUGUUUACACAAAUUUCACAAAGAUUGUAUUGAUCCUUGGCUCAGCAGAAAAACAUCAUGCCCGAUUUGCAAAUCAUCUAUAACUUCUUGAUUUUGCACUAUUGAGUUUCGGUGCUUCAAUUAUGAUGAUGCCCCAUUUUAGGUCGAUAUGCUAUUGACCUUUAGGAAAGAUGGUCAUCAGGAGGCUUCCUUCUGUUAUUUUGAAAUUGAUUUGUGGCUACCAGUUGGGCUAGCUUGUAGACUGGGGUUGAACCAAACCAAACCCUUGUGAUUUAGGGGUGGAGUCCUUGACCAAAAUUUUUGACGAAGUUAUCGCAAAGGGAAAUGACAUCCUGCACUGUUAAGGAGUUAGAAAAGAUAACCUGGAGCAUCAAGGGACAGACAGAUGAAAUCCAAAGUUUUCAUGUCCUAUUCGAUUGCUGUGAGGAGUAAGAGCAAAUGUGAUGCUCAUGAACUGCCACGAGAUGUAUCGUAACAUAAAAACUUUUAAGAUUCGACCUUCAUUCUAACGCGUUUUAGAUUCAACCUUCAAGUCCUCGAAGGGCUCGGUUAAGUGAUAGGGAAAAUGGUUUAACUUGAGGUCAUCCGUUCAAGUCUUGCUAUUGACUUCUUAGUGAGAUUAGUUCAACUUGUGUGGAUACCCUAAAUUUCAACUUGCUGCAGAGGCUUUUCUGGAUUUGUAAAUGAAGAUGCGCAAUGUUCUUUGUCAAGUAGAUGAGCAGUGCUUUCAUCUGUACACCCAUUUCUGUAAAAAAGAAUAGGGUUUAAAUCUUUUGUGAGUAAUUUAGGUUUAGAUUUCCUGG
Populus euphratica (Euphrates poplar) is the source of this 3047-nucleotide RNA transcript. It is a transcript of the gene named RING/U-box superfamily protein, with no coding region annotated. The record is from RefSeq and is a predicted model, not a curated record. The transcript has 10 exons. Lineage: Eukaryota; Viridiplantae; Streptophyta; Magnoliopsida; Malpighiales; Salicaceae.